UACAGAGGGUGCAAGCGUUGUUCGGAAUCAUUGGGCGUAAAGCGCACGUAGGCGGCUUUUCAAGUCCCAUGUGAAAGCCCACGGCUUAACCGUGGAAGUGCAUGGGAAACUGGAAAGCUUGAGUACUUAAGAGGAUCGCGGAAUUCCCGGUGUAGAGGUGAAAUUCGUAGAUAUCGGGAGGAACACCGGUGGCGAAGGCGGCGACCUGGGUAGAUACUGACGCUGAGGUGCGAAGGCGUGGGGAGCAAACAGG
This 253-nucleotide ribosomal RNA is filed under the name uncultured bacterium. RNAcentral's name for it is "partial 16S ribosomal RNA". It matches the Rfam family "Bacterial small subunit ribosomal RNA", at positions 524 to 776 of the family's 1533-position model. The record is from RNAcentral.